Molecule: long non-coding RNA, 1162 nt
Organism: Ailuropoda melanoleuca (giant panda)
Lineage: Eukaryota; Metazoa; Chordata; Mammalia; Carnivora; Ursidae
Exons: 3
Source: RefSeq, a predicted model, not a curated record
GUGACGGGAGGGCGCCCCGCCCCUAGCAGGCGUCAGGGGCGGGCCGGGCCGCACCACUCGCGAAUGCGGGGGAGCGCGGGUGUGUGGCGCGGCGGGUGGUACGCGCCGGAUGUGGCCCUCGGGCGGGAUUGAGGCCUGACCCCACGCUGGGUUGCAAGCCGGGGGUCAGUGGUCGCGGGGGCUCGGGUCGGGGGUUCCGGGAGUGUGAAGCCUGCCGCCGGGCGGGCCCUCCCCCUGAAACUCCGCCCCCGUGAUGGCGGCGGGGGCGGGGCUCGACGGCUGUGCCACCCAGACGCCCCCAGUAUGGUCUGAGGCUCUUCCAAGCCCCCUCCCCGGCUUGGCUGCAAAUGUGACAUGUCACCGGGCGUGGAGCUGGGAAGAGAUAGGCACGACUCCCUUGCGCAAGCCAGUGGGAACGGACACCAGCACAGCUCGGCAACAAGCCUUUCUCAUGAAACUUCAGGGGAGUCCUGACAGAGCCGAGGGAGCAGCUGUUGAACAUUGUGUGGUCCGGGAGCCAGCAAUUCCGACUAUCCUGAACGUGAAGGAUGGUGGACGCUGCCCCAAAGCGAUCCUGGAAAAAGCAAGAACAAAAUCUGGCACCAGGAAUCCUGCAUUCCAUCCUGACAACAGCAGUUUGUAACAGAGGAAAAGCUGACCUCAGGAGAAGUCCACGGUUCUCCACGUUUCGACGGCACGCCAGCUGGCACCAGUAAUGGUACUGCGUGGCUCUACCUGGCACUGGGGUUUGUAAAUCCUAGUUGACACUGUGCCUUCUCUGGUUUGGUCUUUGGUAGCGCAGUGUGUGCGUGUGUGUGCGUGUGUAAGGUGGGCUGACGAAAAUCCAUGCGUGACCACAGUUCCCCCUGUUGGAGGAACCAGAGGCCAGCUGGCACUUCGGGGUACCUGUGCUCACUCUGGGUGCUCAGCAAGAUUUCAGACAUCAACGCAUACCAGAACCCAGCCAGGGCAUUACCUGGACCCCUAAUUCCCUACCCUGGUACACUAGAAUCACUAAAGGAGCUAAAAAAAAAAAAAAAAAGCUCCUAGUCCUCAGCCCAGACAGUUGACUAAGAAUGUCUGGGGGUGGAGUCUGGAAAUUAAAACGUUUUGGGGACGCCUGGGUGGCUCAGUCGGUUAAGCAUCUGAAUCUUGAUUUCGG